RNAcentral lists this long non-coding RNA (1201 nucleotides) under Pan troglodytes (chimpanzee). RNAcentral's name for it is "lncRNA (ENSPTRG00000053296.1)". The record is from RNAcentral. Lineage: Eukaryota; Metazoa; Chordata; Mammalia; Primates; Hominidae.
AUUGUUUUUUAUGAUAGAAAUAGCAUUUCUUUAAUUUUUUUCUUUUUUUAAUCGCCAGUGACUGCCAUACCAAACCACGGACUUGGCUCAUUAUAUUUCCAAUUCUAGCUUUUGCUCUCUGGCAAAUGAGUGUCAUAGGACUGCCCAAAAUAUUUCUGAGGAGGUUUAUCUCAGAGGAUAGUCAGAUGAAAGACUGAGAAAAUGAAAAUGGACAUAAAUGCAUUGAUUCAAGUAAAGCAUUUAGAAUAGGCUCUGGCACAUAGCAAGCAUAUAUAAGUACUGGUUAUUAUCACUGUGGCAUUCUAAGAUAAUGUAGCAUAAGAGACUGGAAUAGAACAAGACCAUUGUCCUUAUGAAGAAUAAGUGUUCCAUAAGAAUUCAAAACAAAUGAUCAGAAUUUAGAAGACUUCCAUGAAGCUGUUAAAAAGUGACCAUGGGUGAUAGGCUGAGCAUGUAAAGAGAUCAACCAGUUGGCAGUUGGGAACAUUUCAAAUGGGCUUAAAGCAUUGUUUUGGAAGUGUGAAUAAUGAAGCCAAGGACAUUAGCAACAUCAUGAAAGCAGGGGAGAGCACAGAAGACAUUAAGCAGAUAGAGAAGCCUGGGAGGGCUUCAGCAAGAAGAAAGUGGAAAGGCACUGGAGGCUGGGCCCCAAGCUGGCAGUCAGUGUGUCUAAGGCACUGUUCAAGGUCCUCAUGACAGAUCCCAUCAGAGCCACAUGUGCCACAUCUCUGCUCACUGCCCGGUGCUAGCACAUCCCCAGAUGAGAGGAUGGGACAUUCCACAUGUUGCACACUUCAUGUGCACAUCGUUAUUUCCUGCUGUCACCUCUGUGGCUCUUUAUUCAUAUGAUGAAGCCCUGCCUCUCCAUCCUCCACCCGCUUCUACCCCUCCAUGCCACCUCCAACUUUCACUCCCAGGACUGCCUGUGUCAUCACCUGCAUGGAUUCUUUUCACUUCUCUGCCAGCUUCAAGGUGCUGCCUUGUAAGGUUAUUCAAAUGCUCAUUCUACAUUGAAAUCAGCAUGGAAUGUGUAAUAACAGGAAAGAGAAAUAUACAGACUCUCUGUGCUUGGCAUGGCAAUGUGUCACGUGGCUUGAAAAGGCGUCAAGUGAAUAGAGAAGAUUCUAUGGAUGUAGAAGAGGUCCCUGGGUUUCCGAAUUGCCACUGGAUUGCCUCUAUCAAAUACGCAAGAGUUUCAUGA